This 668-nucleotide long non-coding RNA is filed under the name Olea europaea subsp. europaea. The record is from RNAcentral. Lineage: Eukaryota; Viridiplantae; Streptophyta; Magnoliopsida; Lamiales; Oleaceae.
UACAGCUGGCCCUACUUUUUAAGUUUACAUUUCAUUAAUCAGUUUUUAAUUUUAAUCUUUCUUAAAUCAGGUUAUAUUAAAUUAUUUAACAUCAAAUUUCAAAUAAAAUAUUAACAAUCAAUUACUAAUUAAUUACUGUCUUUUACGUGAAUAGUGGGAGAGAGAACUUAUCAAAAUUUAUUCUUCUUUCUUCCAUAUCCAGCAAGAAAGAAGUCAAAAUCCAUUCUUCAAUUCAAGAUUCCCAAAUCGUCAAGAUAUUUGAUAUUUGAAGCCUCCAUCGUUUGAAUUAUUAUUAAUUCUAUUUUCCCUAAUUCCCUAAUUCAUUCUCUCAAAUACCCUAUUUUAUAGUUCAAGAUUUUAUUGAACACUAACUCAUUACAAACCCAAAUCGAAAAUGGUGUUAACAAAGAGUGUAGGCCGAAAAUCUCAUUGAAGGAUGAAUAGGAGACUGGAAAAAUCAGGAUUAAAAAAACUAAAAGCACAGAAAGAUCUUCGUUCAAUAAAAAAAAAAAAAAAUCCUGAAAAAUUGGUUAUGGUGGAAAAUCUAGUUUGAAGAAUGUGCAUCAAUUCAUAAUUUUUUAAUCCAAUGUUUAUUUUAUUUUGAGUUCAUGGGCAAGUUGUGUUUGAAUUUUAUCGGGUGAUUAGGAUUUCAUAAUGUUAAUUUAACU